ACAAAAAAAUAAAUAAUUCAUUUUGUUUUGGUCAUAAUUUUUGAUCGGCUAUUAUCUAUUACAUUUGACCAUCAAGUAUCUCCAGGAAUCAAUUGUUGGGACAAUUUGUAAAUUGCAUCAUCCUGUACCAGUGUAGGAAAGAGAAUGGCAUUCGAUUUAUGUAGUGAGAGUAAGGGUGUCAAGGCGAUGGAUGGUCAUGUAGCAUGUCUGACUUCAUGCUGCCCUCUGACUGAUGACCCUUUUUACUGGAACAUGAACUUUCUCCAGCUGGUUCGGUGUUGGGCAGUCUUCUUUGCUUCCUUCCAGGAUGAUGCUGUUUCCUUGAGUUUUGCCUCCAAAGACCUUCUCCAGCUGUUCCUGGGUACAACAUGUCACAAC
Long non-coding RNA from Sander lucioperca (pikeperch), 378 nucleotides. RefSeq lists it as uncharacterized. The transcript has 3 exons. Lineage: Eukaryota; Metazoa; Chordata; Actinopteri; Perciformes; Percidae. The record is from RefSeq and is a predicted model, not a curated record.